Hyla sarda is the source of this 247-nucleotide long non-coding RNA. RefSeq lists it as uncharacterized. The record is from RefSeq and is a predicted model, not a curated record. NCBI's taxonomy places the organism in Eukaryota, Metazoa, Chordata, Amphibia, Anura, Hylidae. The transcript has 3 exons.
GUAGGCGUGGUUUCCUGCUCUGUUGCUAGGAGACUGGAGCGAUGAACUCGUGUGCUCUCGAUACAAUAUUCAGAAUAACAGUCACAAAGCCACAAAAAUAAAUCUCCACGCAUAUAGUGAUGUCUCUUUGCUGAGAAGGAUGGGAGAAUCUCUGUGUGUCACAUAAGGAGUCUCACUGAUACCGUCCAAUGAUGUCUCUUUCCCAUAGGAAGUGUCUCUUUUGCAGAAGGCUUUUGCCUCAUUCACA